UACGGGGGAUGCAAGCGUUAUCCGGAUUUAUUGGGUUUAAAGGGUGCGUAGGCUGUGAGGUAAGUCAGCGGUGAAAUGCCCCCGCUCAACGGGGUGAAGUGCCAUUGAUACUGCCUUGCUGGAAUGCGGAUGCCGUGGGAGGAAUGUGUGGUGUAGCGGUGAAAUGCAUAGAUAUUAGGAGGAACACCAGUGGCGAAGGCGACUUUCUGGACAGUAACUGACGUUGAGGCACGAAAGUGUGGGGAGCAAACAGG
This 254-nucleotide ribosomal RNA is filed under the name uncultured Bacteroidales bacterium. RNAcentral's name for it is "partial 16S ribosomal RNA". It matches the Rfam family "Bacterial small subunit ribosomal RNA", at positions 524 to 776 of the family's 1533-position model. Lineage: Bacteria; Pseudomonadati; Bacteroidota; Bacteroidia; Bacteroidales. The record is from RNAcentral.